UGAACCUCAAUAUGGAACCUAACGUGUAGGUUCGGACAACCGUUUGGCCUUCCGAAACCUAUGCCCGCCCAUAAACAAACAAAACAUUAAUUACCUCUAAUAACAUCUAUAAAAAAUAAUACAACAACACUUAAAACCCUCACCUUGCAGCCAAAAACAGAAGAAAAAGGAGAGAGAAAGAAGAAACCAGUAAGACUGGUGACAGUAGAAGAAGACUCAUCAAGAAGAAGACUCAUUGAUCCUUCUCUGAGAAGCUAAAUUUAACAUGUGUAGAAGAAGACUCAUCAAGAAAAUAGAAAUAUCCGCCAUUACUUGACUCCCAAGAUUUCAUUUUCUCUCACCUCUGAAACUUUUUCCUUGCAUGAUGGCUGUGUCUAGCUAGCUGAUCCAUUAAAGGAUUCACAGUUUUCCAAAUCCCCACGAGAAACCCAGUUCCCCUUCACGGAAAA
Molecule: long non-coding RNA, 449 nt
Filed under: Panax ginseng (ginseng)
Lineage: Eukaryota; Viridiplantae; Streptophyta; Magnoliopsida; Apiales; Araliaceae
Description: long non-coding RNA (PGIN_LNC018657)
Source: RNAcentral